CUACGGGACGCUGCAGUGGGGAAUAUUGGACAAUGGGGGAAACCCUGAUCCAGCAAUGCCGCGUGUGUGAAGAAGGCCUGCGGGUUGUAAAGCACUUUCGGUUGGGAGGACUGCUUCUAGCACUAAUAUUGUUGGAAGUUGACGUUACCUUCAGAAGAAGCACCGGCUAACUCCGUGCCAGCAGCCGCGGUAAUACGGAGGGUGCAUGCGUUAAUCGGAAUUACUGGGCGUAAAGCGCGCGUAGGCGGCUAGAUCAGUCGGGUGUGAAAGCCCCGGGCUUAACCUGGGAACUGCAUCCGAUACUGUCUAGCUUGAGUACAGGAGAGGAGAGUGGAAUUCCACAUGUAGCGGUGAAAUGCGUAGAUAUGUGGAGGAACACCAAUGGCGAAGGCAGCUCUCUGGCCUGAUACUGACGCUGAGGUGCGAAGGCGUGGGGAGCAAACAGGAUUAGAUACCCCCGUAGUC
This 465-nucleotide ribosomal RNA is filed under the name uncultured bacterium. RNAcentral's name for it is "partial 16S ribosomal RNA". It matches the Rfam family "Bacterial small subunit ribosomal RNA", at positions 339 to 795 of the family's 1533-position model. The record is from RNAcentral.